This is an unclassified non-coding RNA of Coturnix japonica (Japanese quail), 187 nucleotides long. The record is from Ensembl. Lineage: Eukaryota; Metazoa; Chordata; Aves; Galliformes; Phasianidae.
AGAACAGCAGUAGAAACAAAAGCUGCUUUUUCAUUCACAGGCUAAAUACAGCAUACAGCAGCUGCACUGCAGGCUAAACCCAUAUUAUCCUCUUUAUGACCUCAGUUCUGACCUUAGAUGAGGUUUCAUGCUCCGCUUAAAUGCAGAUAGUAUUUUUGUUUCUAACUUGACUUCUCUUGAGUCCCUU